GGGCCGGUGCGGGGGCGGGUCGCCGCUGCGCGCUCGUCGCGGGCGCGGCUGCUCGCUGCGCGCGCUGCUGCGGUUCCGGCGGCACCGGCCCUCCA
Molecule: transfer RNA, 95 nt
Filed under: Curtobacterium citreum
Lineage: Bacteria; Bacillati; Actinomycetota; Actinomycetes; Micrococcales; Microbacteriaceae
Description: tRNA-Glu
Source: RNAcentral